UUAAAUGAUGAAGAUUUUAAUUUUCCGUUGGUCUAUUAAGAACAGAAGUACUUCAAAACUACUUUUCAAGACCAUCCUUUUGCAGUAUUUUAAUAUUGUGAAACUUCUCAUUUACUUUGUGUCUUUAUGGCUCAUCGUUCUGAUGAAUCAUGAUUAGAAACGAGGUAUACUGCAUUAAUUUGUUGGAGAAUAUUGGGAGUCUUUUAAUGUGAUGAGUGGCCAACACAACCUUAUAGUCAUAGUUACACUGAUU
Molecule: small nucleolar RNA, 253 nt
Filed under: Saccharomyces arboricola H-6
Lineage: Eukaryota; Fungi; Ascomycota; Saccharomycetes; Saccharomycetales; Saccharomycetaceae
Description: Small nucleolar RNA snR63
Rfam family: Small nucleolar RNA snR63
Source: Rfam by way of RNAcentral